Rhea pennata is the source of this 185-nucleotide small nuclear RNA. RefSeq annotates it as U2 spliceosomal RNA. Lineage: Eukaryota; Metazoa; Chordata; Aves; Rheiformes; Rheidae. The record is from RefSeq and is a predicted model, not a curated record. The transcript has a single exon.
AUAUCUGGCCUUUGGGCUGAGAUAAAUUGUUGUAUCUGCCUUUGCCUGCUGAAUAUCUGAUGACCCUUCGGUGGAAGGAUCAUUGAUCAAUGACUUUUUGGAGCUGGGUGGUGGUACAGGAGCCUGCUCUGGCCAUGUCACACGUGGCCCUGGCACUGCGGUGCCCUGGGGGCUGGUUGUCAGCA